ACAACAGGCCAUUGCCCCACGUAACGGCGAGUGAAGCGGCAACAGCUCAAAUUUGAAAUCUGGCCUCGGCCAGGUUGUAAUUUGCAGAGGAUGUUUCUGGCGCGGUGCCUUCUGAGUUCCCUGGAACGGGACGCCAUAGAGGGUGAGAGCCCCGUACGGUUGGACGCCUAGCCUGUGUGAAACUCCUUCGACGAGUCGAGUAGUUUGGGAAUGCUGCUCAAAAUGGGAGGUAUAUCUCUUCUAAAGCUAAAUACCGGCCAGAGACCGAUAGCGCACAAGUAGAGUGAUCGAAAGAUGAAAAGCACCUUGAAAAGGGGGUUAAACAGCACGUGAAAUUGUUGAAAGGGAAGCGCCCAUGACCAGACUUGUGCCCGGCGGAUCACCCAGCGUUCUCGCUGGGGCACUCCGCCGGGUCCAGGCCAGCAUCGGUUUUCGCCGGGGGAUAAAGGCUCUGGGAACGUAGCUCCUCCGGGAGUGUUAUAGCCCUCUGCGUAAUACCCUGGCGGGGACCGAGGUACGCGCUCCGCAAGGAUGCUGGCGUAAUGGUCAUCAGCGACCCGUCUUGAAACACGGAUCAAGGAGUCGUCCAUUAGAGCGAGCGUUUGGGUGUCAAACCCGCACGCGUAAUGAAAGUGAACGUAGGUGAGAGCUUCGGCGCAUCAUCGACCGAUCCUGAUGUCCUCGGAUGGAUUUGAGUAUGAGUUUUACUGGACGGACCCGAAAGAUGGUGAACUAUGCCUGUAUAGGGUGAAGCCAGAGGAAACUCUGGUGGAGGCUCGCAGCGGUUCUGACGUGCAAAUCGAUCGUCAAAUAUGGGCAUGGGGGCGAAAGACUAAUCGAACCAUCUAGUAGCUGGUUACCGCCGAAGUUUCCCUCAGGAUAGCAGUGUUGAUCUUCAGUUUUAUGAGGUAAAGCGAAUGAUUAGGGACUCGGGGGCGCUAUUUAGCCUUCAUCCAUUCUCAAACUUUAAAUAUGUAAGAAGCCCUUGUUACUUAGUUGAACGUGGGCAUUCGAAUGUACCAACACUAGUGGGCCAUUUUUGGUAAGCAGAACUGGCGAUGCGGGAUGAACCGAACGCGGGGUUAAGGUGCCGGAGUGGACGCUCAUCAGACACCACAAAAGGCGUUAGUACAUCUUGACAGCAGGACGGUGGCCAUGGAAGUCGGAAUCCGCUAAGGACUGUGUAACAACUCACCUGCCGAAUGUACUAGCCCUGAAAAUGGAUGGCGGCUCAAGCGUCCCACCCAUACCCCGCCCUUCAGGGUAGAAUCGAUGCCCUGAGGAGUAGGCGGCCGUGGAGGUCAUGU
RNAcentral lists this ribosomal RNA (1307 nucleotides) under Phaeoacremonium minimum. Its description in RNAcentral is "eukaryotic LSU rRNA". It matches the Rfam family "Eukaryotic large subunit ribosomal RNA", at positions 65 to 1403 of the family's 3401-position model. The record is from RNAcentral. Lineage: Eukaryota; Fungi; Ascomycota; Sordariomycetes; Togniniales; Togniniaceae.